Molecule: ribosomal RNA, 439 nt
Filed under: uncultured bacterium
Lineage: Bacteria
Description: partial 16S ribosomal RNA
Rfam family: Bacterial small subunit ribosomal RNA
Source: RNAcentral
CUACGGGUUGCUGCAGUGGGGAAUCUUAGACAAUGGGCGCAAGCCUGAUCUAGCCAUGCCGCGUGAGUGAUGAAGGCCUUAGGGUCGUAAAGCUCUUUCGCUGGGGAAGAUAAUGACGGUACCCAGUAAAGAAACCCCGGCUAACUCCGUGCCAGCAGCCGCGGUAAUACGGAGGGGGUUAGCGUUGUUCGGAAUUACUGGGCGUAAAGCGCGCGUAGGCGGACUGUUAAGUCGGGGGUGAAAUCCCGGGGCUCAACCCCGGAACGGCCUUCGAUACUGGCAGUCUGGAGUUCGAGAGAGGUGAGUGGAAUUCCGAGUGUAGAGGUGAAAUUCGUAGAUAUUCGGAGGGACACCAGUGGCGAAGGCGGCUCACUGGCUCGAUACUGACGCUGAGGUGCGAAAGUGUGGGGAGCAAACAGGAUUAGAUACCCGAGUAGUC